Limanda limanda (common dab) is the source of this 1197-nucleotide long non-coding RNA. RefSeq lists it as uncharacterized. Lineage: Eukaryota; Metazoa; Chordata; Actinopteri; Pleuronectiformes; Pleuronectidae. The transcript is spliced from 4 exons. The record is from RefSeq and is a predicted model, not a curated record.
CUGCUGUGAGCCACGCCUUCCGUUUGCUAAGUACUGAGGCUAAAAGACUUGAGUUUUUAACCUGCAAACAUUUUUCUGAAUUGAUCGAUUACUUUUCCAGUCUAGAACACGACGGCGAAAAGGCCAAUAUACUUUUUUUUUCUAGAGCUUAUUGUUGCCAAACAGCCUGAACCUCAUUCAGCUCAAUUUGCCAUGAGAGCCUGCGACCCAUGGAUCCUGGCUGUCAGCAGGUGGGGCUGCUCCUGGUAACUGUGAGGAACAACCAGCGGCCUGGACAACAGAGUGCUUUGGAACAACAGAGCUGAGGAGAAAGGACAACAUGUCACAUUUACAGCUAACAUGGAAUCAGCUGUAUUCAGCUCACACUUAACCACAUUUAAUUCAUAUAAAAACUCAACCUGACGAUCGCCGCCAUGAUGAUACUCCAACCAAGGUCACCACGGUUACCCGGAUGUAGUUGACGUGUCGUCAGCGGGACAAAGAUGUUCAGUGUGAGAGAUCACAGCCGCUACAACUUUUGCCUACUCUCUGGCUGCGUGACAGAAACAUGGGCGUCUCCUGGCCUGGGCAUCCGGGGCUGAGGCCAAACCUGGGGGGAUGAAACGUCUACAACACCUGAAUGAUAGAAAACACAACUAAAUUAAAUUUAUGUACAAAGUUUUCCACCAGGCCUCAUAUUAAGACUCACGUUCAUAUUUUGAUCCCUUCCACUUCCCAGUGAAAUCCUGCAUAUCUGUAUUAGAAACAUUGUUGUAAGCAGCUCAAAAAUAUUUAUUUGUAUUAAAAGAAUAUGAAUGACACCAAUCCUGUACUUUUGCUAAACCUUGAUGGUUUAUAUUACGUCGUAAAUGUGUCGCAGUUGUAAUCAAGAGUGUAAAUAAGUUACAAAAUGAAAGCUGUAUAAAAUAUCAUAAUGUGAACCACUUUCACCAUAAAAUUCAUAUAACAAUUCAAGCAAAAAGUCCUGUUUCACUUCAGAUUGAUAGUAUACCAACUCACUAAUGCACCUUUCAAAUACUAAGUAUUCUAACUAAUUAUAAAUACCACCAGUAAGGAGAAGAGCUUUAUAUAGUGUGUACAAGAUGUAUUCAUGUAUUCCAAAAUAGUGAGAGUGGUUUUGAAAUUGAAUCACACUGAUUAUGGCUCGUGGGAUUAUUGUAUUUCUUGAUAUUGACUGUUUGUAUUAAGCUUUGUCAU